Humulus lupulus (European hop) is the source of this 486-nucleotide long non-coding RNA. RefSeq lists it as uncharacterized. The record is from RefSeq and is a predicted model, not a curated record. NCBI's taxonomy places the organism in Eukaryota, Viridiplantae, Streptophyta, Magnoliopsida, Rosales, Cannabaceae. The transcript is spliced from 2 exons.
UUGGGUCUUUAAAGAUUAUUUUGCAUGUUUUAGAGGUGUGUAGAUGUGACUGGAGCUUACAGUGCUCUAAAGACGGAGCUUAACAUAAGCUUGACAGCAAUAGGCCUUUUGUGGACGACAACUGACUUUAUUGCAAAGGGGAUUACACAUGGACCUGUGGAAGAAAGGGAAACAAGAAAGGGAAACAGGUAUAUGACAAGUGCACAACAAAUGGACUCACAACAAAGACAAGUGCACAAAGGAUGAUGAAUUGAAGGAUGGAGCAAGUUUCAUGCAUGGUUUACUUUUGUGUAUCUUGUAAUUUUUUGUUUUUCAUUUUUGAAGUAAAAAAAUGUUCAAGAUUAUAAAACUUUAUUAUGUUAUGCUUUCAAACUUAAGUUAGAACUAAGAUCUCAUGAAAUAGAAACAUUCCGAGUUUGAAUUAGUUAUUGUUUAAUGUAAUACUUAUGGUUUAUCAAUCUAUUGAGAAUUAUAUUUUAUGAUUAA